RNAcentral lists this transfer RNA (69 nucleotides) under Scortum barcoo (barcoo grunter). Its description in RNAcentral is "tRNA-His". It matches the Rfam family "tRNA". From Rfam's summary of the family: Transfer RNA (tRNA) molecules are approximately 80 nucleotides in length. The record is from RNAcentral. Lineage: Eukaryota; Metazoa; Chordata; Actinopteri; Centrarchiformes; Terapontidae. RNAcentral also lists the same sequence under 1 other name.
GUAGAUAUAGUUUAACAAAAACAUUAGAUUGUGAUUCUGAAGACAAAGGUUAAAGUCCUUUUAUCCACC